UAGGGAAUCUUCCGCAAUGGACGCAAGUCUGACGGAGCAACGCCGCGUGAGUGAAGAAGGAUUUCGGUUCGUAAAACUCUGUUGUUAGAGAAGAACAGCGCAUAGAGUAACUGUUAUGCGUGUGACGGAAUCUAACCAGAAAGCCACGGCUAACUACGUGCCAGCAGCCGCGGUAAUACGUAGGUGGCAAGCGUUGUCCGGAUGUAUUGGGCGUAAAGCGAGCGCAGGCGGUCAAUUAAGUCUGAUGUGAAAGCCCCCGGCUCAACCGGGGAGGGUCAUUGGAAACUGGUUGACUUGAGUGCAGAAGAGGAGAGUGGAAUUCCAUGUGUAGCGGUGAUAUGCGUAGAUAUAUGGAGGAACCCCAGUGGCGAAGGCGACUCUCUGGUCUGUACCUGCCGCUGAGGCUCGAAAGCGUGGGUAGCAAACAGU
RNAcentral lists this ribosomal RNA (429 nucleotides) under Bacteroidota bacterium. Its description in RNAcentral is "Bacteroidetes bacterium partial 16S ribosomal RNA". It matches the Rfam family "Bacterial small subunit ribosomal RNA", at positions 355 to 776 of the family's 1533-position model. The record is from RNAcentral. Lineage: Bacteria; Pseudomonadati; Bacteroidota.